Molecule: ribosomal RNA, 506 nt
Filed under: uncultured bacterium
Lineage: Bacteria
Description: bacterial SSU rRNA
Rfam family: Bacterial small subunit ribosomal RNA
Source: RNAcentral
CGAAGCAAUCUAACGGAAGUUUUCGGAUGGAAGUUAAAUUGACUGAGUGGCGGACGGGUGAGUAACGCGUGGGUAACCUGCCUCACACUGGGGGACAACAGUUAGAAAUGACUGCUAAUACCGCAUAAGCGCACAGGACCGCAUGGUCCGGUGUGAAAAACUCCGGUGGUGUGAGAUGGACCCGCGUUUGAUUAGCUAGUUGGUGGGGUAACGGCCUACCAAGGCGACGAUCAAUAGCCGACCUGAGAGGGUGACCGGCCACAUUGGGACUGAGACACGGCCCAAACUCCUACGGGAGGCAGCAGUGGGGAAUAUUGCACAAUGGGGGAAACCCUGAUGCAGCGACGCCGCGUGAGUGAAGAAGUAUUUCGGUAUGUAAAGCUCUAUCAGCAGGGAAGAAAAUGACGGUACCUGACUAAGAAGCCCCGGCUAACUACGUGCCAGCAGCCGCGGUAAUACGUAGGGGGCAAGCGUUAUCCGGAUUUACUGGGUGUAAAGGGAGCGUA